Molecule: long non-coding RNA, 214 nt
Filed under: Capsicum annuum
Lineage: Eukaryota; Viridiplantae; Streptophyta; Magnoliopsida; Solanales; Solanaceae
Description: long non-coding RNA (CANN_LNC019747)
Source: RNAcentral
AACAGAUCCUUUAGCAUUUGUAGUUCUUUUUCUAAUUCAGCAAUCCUAUUAUUUUUAGUUUCUUCUAUUUUUCGUAUUUCUUCUGUAGUUUGUUGUUUUAUUUUUUCUAUUUCCUUUUUUCUAUCUAUUUCUUCAUUUUCAUUUUCUAUUUUUACCAUAGCUGUCAAUUUAUCUUCUAAUUUUAAUUCUUCUUUUUCUAACAUUAAAUAUAAAU